AGAGUUUGAUCCUGGCUCAGAGCGAACGCUGGCGGCAGGCUUAACACAUGCAAGUCGAACGGACCCUUCGGGGUUAGUGGCGGACGGGUGAGUAACACGUGGGAACGUGCCUUUAGGUUCGGAACAACACAGGGAAACUUGUGCUAAUACCGGAUGUGCCCUUCGGGGGAAAGAUUUAUCGCCUUUAGAGCGGCCCGCGUCUGAUUAGCUAGUUGGUAGGGUAAAGGCCUACCAAGGCUACGAUCAGUAGCUGGUCUGAGAGGAUGGCCAGCCACAUUGGGACUGAGACACGGCCCAAACUCCUACGGGAGGCAGCAGUGGGGAAUCUUGCGCAAUGGGCGAAAGCCUGACGCAGCCAUGCCGCGUGGAUGAUGAAGGUCUUAGGAUUGUAAAAUCCUUCAGCGGG
RNAcentral lists this ribosomal RNA (406 nucleotides) under uncultured bacterium. RNAcentral describes it as "bacterial SSU rRNA". It matches the Rfam family "Bacterial small subunit ribosomal RNA", at positions 8 to 442 of the family's 1533-position model. The record is from RNAcentral.